GAUGAACGCUGGCGGCGUGCCUAAUACAUGCAAGUCGAGCGAACAGACGAGGAGCUUGCUCCUCUGACGUUAGCGGCGGACGGGUGAGUAACACGUGGAUAACCUACCUAUAAGACUGGGAUAACUUCGGGAAACCGGAGCUAAUACCGGAUAAUAUAUUGAACCGCAUGGUUCAAUAGUGAAAGACGGUUUUGCUGUCACUUAUAGAUGGAUCCGCGCCGCAUUAGCUAGUUGGUAAGGUAACGGCUUACCAAGGCAACGAUGCGUAGCCGACCUGAGAGGGGGAUCGGCCACACUGGAACUUAGCCACGGUCCAGACUCCUACGGGAGGCAGCAGUAGGGAAUCGUCCGAAAGGGGCGAAAGCCUGACGCAGCAACGCCGCGUGAGUGAUGAAGGUCUUCGGAUCUUAAAACUCUGUUAUUAGGGAAGAACAAAAGUGUAAGUAACUAGGCACGUCUUGACGGUACCUAAUCAGAAAGCCACGGCUAACUACGUG
This 497-nucleotide ribosomal RNA is filed under the name uncultured bacterium. RNAcentral's name for it is "partial 16S ribosomal RNA". It matches the Rfam family "Bacterial small subunit ribosomal RNA", at positions 28 to 507 of the family's 1533-position model. The record is from RNAcentral.